GUCCAUAGAAUUCUGAAAUUCAACUAAGGGUCAGAACCAGGACUAAACUCCAGGUCUCAAUUGCAAAGUCCAUUUACAUCAGUUUUUCUUUUAAAAAACUAAGUGCUAGGAGCUAGAGGCAAAUAAGGAAGUGGAGUGCUGAUCUUGAGCCUAAGAAUUUCCCCGUGCUGAGAACAAGUUCACAACAGAAGAGCAGAGAAGAGAGACCUAUCUCAAGUACAGUAUGCAGGCUACGUGGUGCUGUGGAGAGCCCAGGGUUCUGAGAAGUAAAAGACUGGAGUCCUGGAUCCUAACUGUGAUUUUGAUCAAUGGUCUCACUUCUCUGCUCCUCAAUCCAGAAGACUAGAAUAUUAGGACCAAAUCAGAGAUCUGUGAAGGAUAGCUGCUCCAUCUACCCUUCCAUCAGCAGGACAGGGGUGUCCCUGUGUACCACUCUCCCAGCCAACUCUUUCCCCUCAUCUGAGUAACAGCUCCUGGCACUCUGAGCUUGUUUCCACAUCUGCUGAAAAACAUAGAAGACUGCCAACGCUGCUCCAUAUUCACACAGAGGUACCAUGAAGAGACAAUGAGACAAAAUCUGUAAAAAUACUUG
Long non-coding RNA from Myotis brandtii (Brandt's bat), 592 nucleotides. RefSeq lists it as uncharacterized. Lineage: Eukaryota; Metazoa; Chordata; Mammalia; Chiroptera; Vespertilionidae. The transcript has 4 exons. The record is from RefSeq and is a predicted model, not a curated record.